This 445-nucleotide ribosomal RNA is filed under the name uncultured bacterium. Its description in RNAcentral is "bacterial SSU rRNA". It matches the Rfam family "Bacterial small subunit ribosomal RNA", at positions 354 to 796 of the family's 1533-position model. The record is from RNAcentral.
GUGAGGAAUAUUGCGCAAUGGAGGCAACUCUGACGCAGCCAUGCCGCGUGCAGGAAGAAGGCGCUACGCGUUGUAAACUGCUUUUAACCGGGAAGAAACCCCAGGACGUGUCCUGGGUUGACGGUACCGGAGGAAUAAGCACCGGCUAACUUCGUGCCAGCAGCCGCGGUAAUACGAAGGGUGCAAGCGUUAUCCGGAUUCAUUGGGUUUAAAGGGUGCGUAGGCGGAGCGUUAAGUCAGUGGUGAAAUCCUGCAGCUUAACGGUGGACUUGCCAUUGAUACUGGCGCUCUUGAGUGCGCUUGAAGUGGGCGGAAUGUGCCGUGUAGCGGUGAAAUGCUUAGAUAUGGCACAGAACACCAAUUGCGAAGGCAGCUCACUAAGGCGAUACUGACGCUGAGGCACGAAAGCGUGGGGAUCGAACAGGAUUAGAAACCCCAGUAGUCC